ACAAACCCUAAACCCUAGUUCCCGUGUUCAACGUUUAACCGUCCGUCUUAUUUAAAAAAUUAUGAAAAAAAUUAAAAAUAUAAGUCACGCAUAAAGUAUUAAUCAUGUUUUAUCAUAUAACAACAAUAAAAAUACUAAUUAUAAAACAUUUUCAUAUAAGACGGACAAUCAAAUAUUGGCACGGAAACCCACGGUUUAUCUUUUU
Oryza glaberrima (African rice) is the source of this 205-nucleotide non-coding RNA. NCBI's taxonomy places the organism in Eukaryota, Viridiplantae, Streptophyta, Magnoliopsida, Poales, Poaceae. The record is from Rfam.